This 1150-nucleotide long non-coding RNA is filed under the name Mastacembelus armatus (zig-zag eel). Its description in RNAcentral is "lncRNA (ENSMAMG00000027824.1)". The record is from RNAcentral. Lineage: Eukaryota; Metazoa; Chordata; Actinopteri; Synbranchiformes; Mastacembelidae.
ACGUUUUUAUUAUUCAAAUUUAUUUUUCUGAUGCAGAAUUAGUCAAUAUUGAAGUUAAAACUACCUGAACUCAGUCCUGCAGCUUUAUUUCAAACAAACCCCCUGAGUCGUUAUUGAGCAUUUAAUUUAACAGCUUUAUUAAAGUGUAUUGAUUAUUUAUUGAUGGUGUUAUAUGUUUCCUCUGGUUUUACGUGUUUCUGUCUCACUGUAAUGAAAUUAACAUUUUAACUCUGUUUCGAUAAAAAAGUCAAACUUGAAGCUUUUUCUUGACUCGGAGUUUUGAACAUUGAAAAUCUUUUAUUAUUUUUGUGUUGAAUGUUUUUGGUCUGAUCAGACAUUUGCAGGUUAAUCGUCAUUAAUUAAUCCACAGAACCAAAUUUGGAUUUUUAUUGCAGGUUUCUAAUUUUAUUAAUCAGCCUUUGUAUUAACUGGAGCUAAAUUAAAUUAAUGAUCAUCUUUUUAAUCAUUUUUACGCAGAAUUAAAUAUAAUCGACUGGAGCCUAUUUUUAUCAUAUUCAUUGUUAAUAACGAUGAUAAGUAAUUAAUAAUCAAUACAAAUGUUUAUAAUAGGCCACCAUAAUGUUCCCGUAACCUGAGCUGUGUUUGUUCCUGUUAACUUGGAAUAAUCUCAUUGUAGUUAUGAUGCAGGAACAUUAUCACCAAGCGCAUGAGCACUGAUGCUUUUUAAAAUGGUCCUGGUUUCACAGGCUGUGUGGACAUUUGUCAUGAGGUUAAAGUGGGCGGAGUUUGUCGCUUUAUUACUGCAGCCAAUGACGUCACAGGAUGAGGAUGUUCCCACAGGUUGAGCUGAGCUUCAGGUGACACUGACACACUUCAGCCUGGACCAGGAGCAAAGAAACGGUUCAGGGGAAGGUCAGAGGUCACAUGUCAUGGGCUUUCAUAAACCGUUCAGGCCAACAGGGGGCGAUAGACUCUUAUCGUGGUGGUCCUCACUGUUGCAUAAUACAAUGGACCAGAACGGGAGGAGGGUGUGGUGUUCUUCUGCAUGAGCUGCAGCUACAAGUCAUCAGCACCCAGAGAGAAAUCACCUGCUCAGGUAAGUGUCAGAACAGUGUCUGUUGUUUAUAGGUGCACAGUCAGAGUCCCACCUGAAGACUCAAUGAAAAAUAUAUGAAAUAUAAGAAAUGUG